UAUCUCUCCGUACGGGGAAGGAUGGGAAGCUUCGACUAAGGUUCGAUUCGAGCGCAGCGAGAAAGCGUUGCCGCAGGCAACGACCCGAAGGGUGAGGAGCGGAGCGACGAAUAAUCCUUCCCCCACCAUCA
Molecule: small RNA, 131 nt
Filed under: Salmonella enterica
Lineage: Bacteria; Pseudomonadati; Pseudomonadota; Gammaproteobacteria; Enterobacterales; Enterobacteriaceae
Description: RtT sRNA
Rfam family: RtT RNA
About the family: This family represents a bacterial cis-regulatory element known as RtT RNA.
Source: RNAcentral